GACUAAAUUUCUAAUAAAAACAAUUCCACCUGCAAACUCGUCGAGUUCGAUCUCACACUGUCCCAAGUCCAUCACACAACACACCUUUUCCUAAACGCUUUUCCGAUUCUCGUUGCUGAGAAUUAGAGAAACGACGCUCGAACACGCUGCGAAACACUGAACUAGGUUCUCUAAAUGUCGCGGUAGCCUCUCGAGGUCCGCGUGGGUCAGCCACAGCCGACUGUGCAAACGGCGAAAACCAUAGAAAACGAAGCGCAAUUGUGGAGGAACAAGCCCGUUUGCUACACGCGAGGCGGCAAGUUUCGCUGUACGUGUUCGCCUAGCGAGCCAAGCUACCAUACACGACGAUGGUGGUCGGUGAGCUGGCGACAGACUGCGGAUCAUUUCUUUUUUCCACCUACCAACCGCCCACGACGGGUCGUCGGUGGAGGAAUAAAUAGGAACCGGGGGCAGCAGACGCGGUGCAACAGAAAUGAUUCAUCUGUCGAAGAAUCGAUAAACGAGCGGAUAAUUGAAACGAGAACAAUUAA
Molecule: unclassified non-coding RNA, 530 nt
Filed under: Bombus terrestris (buff-tailed bumblebee)
Lineage: Eukaryota; Metazoa; Arthropoda; Insecta; Hymenoptera; Apidae
Description: misc RNA ENSBTSG00005037356.1
Source: RNAcentral